CCUACGGGGAGCAGCAGUGAGGAAUAUUGGUCAAUGGACGAGAGUCUGAACCAGCCAAGUAGCGUGAAGGAUGACUGCCCUAUGGGUUGUAAACUUCUUUUAUAUGGGAAUAAAAUGUUCCACGUGUGGGAUUUUGUAUGUACCAUAUGACUAAGGAUCGGCUAACUCCGUGCCAGCAGCCGCGGUAAUACGGAGGCUCCGAGCGUUAUCCGGCUUUCUUGGGUUUAAAGGGAGCGUAGGUUGAUUGUUAAGUCAGUUGUGAAAGUUUGCGGCUCAACCGUAAAAUUGCAGUUGAAACUGGCAGUCUUGAGUACAGUAGAGGUGGGCGGAAUUCGUGGUGUAGCGGUGAAAUGCUUAGAUAUCACGAAGAACUCCGAUUGCGAAGGCAGUUCACUGGACUGCAACUGACACUGAGGCUCGAAAGUGUGGGUAUCAAACAGGAUUAGAUACCCUAGUAGUC
RNAcentral lists this ribosomal RNA (460 nucleotides) under uncultured bacterium. RNAcentral's name for it is "partial 16S ribosomal RNA". It matches the Rfam family "Bacterial small subunit ribosomal RNA", at positions 338 to 795 of the family's 1533-position model. The record is from RNAcentral.